CGAACGGGUGAGUAAUACAUCGGAAUGUACCCAGUAGUGGGGGAUAACGUACCGAAAGGUACGCUAAUACCGCAUACGACCUACGGGUGAAAGCGGGGGAUCGCAAGACCUCGCGCUAUUGGAGCAGCCGAUGGCCGAUUAGCUAGUUGGUGAGGUAAAGGCUCACCAAGGCGACGAUCGGUAGCUGGUCUGAGAGGACGAUCAGCCACACUGGGACUGAGACACGGCCCAG
Molecule: ribosomal RNA, 232 nt
Filed under: uncultured Burkholderiales bacterium
Lineage: Bacteria; Pseudomonadati; Pseudomonadota; Betaproteobacteria; Burkholderiales
Description: partial 16S ribosomal RNA
Rfam family: Bacterial small subunit ribosomal RNA
Source: RNAcentral